GUAGGUGGCAAGCGUUGUCCGGAAUUAUUGGGCGUAAAGCGCGCGCAGGCGGUUUUUAAGGUCUGAUGUGAAAGCCCACGGCUCAACCGUGGAGGGUCAUUGGAAACUGGAGAACUUGAGUACAGAAGAGGAAAGCGGAAUUCCACGUGUAGCGGUGAAAUGCGUAGAGAUGUGGAGGAACACCAGUGGCGAAGGCGGCUUUCUGGUCUGUAACUGACGCUGAGGCGCGAAAGCGUGGGGAGCAAACAGGAUUAGAUACCCUGGUAGUCCACGCCGUAAACGAUGAGUGCUAAGUGUUAGGGGGUUUCCGCCCCUUAGUGCUGCAGCUAACGCAUUAAGCACUCCGCCUGGGGAGUACGGCCGCAAAGGCUG
This 372-nucleotide ribosomal RNA is filed under the name uncultured organism. Its description in RNAcentral is "partial 16S ribosomal RNA". It matches the Rfam family "Bacterial small subunit ribosomal RNA", at positions 527 to 896 of the family's 1533-position model. The record is from RNAcentral.